RNAcentral lists this ribosomal RNA (216 nucleotides) under Glomeromycotina sp. Its description in RNAcentral is "partial small subunit ribosomal RNA". The stretch from base 44 to 216 matches the Rfam family "Eukaryotic small subunit ribosomal RNA", at positions 690 to 864 of the family's 1831-position model. Lineage: Eukaryota; Fungi; Glomeromycota. The record is from RNAcentral.
GGGUCAGUAGGUUGGUCGUGCCACCGGUACGUACUGGUCUCACUGAUUCCUCCUUCCUGAAGAACCGUAAUGCCAUUAAUUUGGUGUCGCGGGGAAACAGGACUGUUACUUUGAAAAAAUUAGAGUGUUUAAAGCAAGCUAACGCUUGAAUACAUUAGCAUGGAAUAAUGAAAUAGGACGAUCGAUCCUAUUAUGUUGGUUCCUAGGAUUGACGUA